GGAUGUGAGGGCCAUCUGGCUGUGACAUCUGUCACCCCAUUGAUCGCCAGGGUUGAUUCGCUGAUCUGGCUGGCUAGGUGGGUGUCCCCUUCCUCCCUCACUGCUCCAUGUGUGUCCCUCCUGAAGCUGCGUGCUCAGUGGAAGAGGACUGUCGGGCUGCGCCAUGGAGGAGAGAGAGGA
Molecule: small nuclear RNA, 180 nt
Filed under: Erinaceus europaeus (western European hedgehog)
Lineage: Eukaryota; Metazoa; Chordata; Mammalia; Eulipotyphla; Erinaceidae
Description: 7SK RNA
Rfam family: 7SK RNA
About the family: 7SK was discovered as an abundant small nuclear RNA in the mid-70s but a possible function has only recently been suggested. Two independent studies have found that 7SK RNA binds the CDK9/cyclin T complex (known as elongation factor P-TEFb).
Source: Rfam by way of RNAcentral